CUUUGGCUGCUCCUACAACAAGAAACAAGAAUUUAAAAAGAACCCAUGGUUCUUGGCCUUCCUGUCCAUCUCCAUGGCAAUAGAAUUAUGGAGUCAAUGGGUCCUGAAUUUGCAAUGUUCUGGAUAGAAAGUUCUGCUCCCCUCUCACCACUCUCCACUCUCUACAAAGAUAAAAGUUAGGGGGUGUGGUUAAUUUUUGUGAAAGCCUGUCAGAAUACAGGACAGCACUGAGAACUUGUGGAGAUUCCCGGACAGCAGAUUCUGGGGAGAAGAAAUCCUCCUUGGAAGGUCCAGGCCAUCCCUGCCAGGCUUGUUGGAGAGCUACAGCCCCGAGCCUGGGAGGGCAGUUACUAAUCAGUCAGUCACGGCAGCAUCAAGCAAGCAGAGAAGGAAGGGAAUAAAAUGUCCUAGGAAGAUGGAAAUAGAUGUUUCAAAGCUUGAGAAGACCACCAGAGCAAGCAAUUCGGUUCAGUGUCACUACUAAGUACCUGAAUAUGGAAGAAGUGAGAAAGAAAGAGGAAAAGGAGAAGAGGGGAAAAUAAGAUGCUGUCAGAUACGGGCAGGAGAAAUCCUUUAGAGUGCUUUGUGACCACCCAGAAGUAGAAGAAUAAAACUAACGCUAUUAAAAAGCAAUGGAAUCCCUGCCUACUGCUGUUUCUCUGCCUCACAAACUUCUUUUUUCCCCUUUAAAUGCAACAAUAUAUUAACACUCUGUCAGUUGAAGAGUGCUUUAUAAAUGGUAGAUGCUGUUUCUUGCUUAAACAACUGCUCUGAGUGCCUGAUAGAGCUAUAGGCACACCUGUUUAAAGCUCUGCAAGUCCCACUCACCCCCCGGAUUCGGAUCUUCAAAGCAACAACUGCAGACCCACCUGUGGCAGGCAGACUUCUAAGACGGCCCCCUGAGAUCCCUGCUUCCUAGAGUUCAUG
This 927-nucleotide long non-coding RNA is filed under the name Equus caballus (horse). RNAcentral's name for it is "lncRNA (ENSECAG00000055806.1)". Lineage: Eukaryota; Metazoa; Chordata; Mammalia; Perissodactyla; Equidae. The record is from RNAcentral.